CUGCACCUAAUCGCAGCUGCUGUCAGCUCUCUUGCAGUUGUGUGCUUGUGGGAGCCUCGCCCUUGUUGUUUUACAGCAGUCAGCCUUCUCUGCACAUCUGGUGCUGAAGUGGGACUUUUGGAGAGACUCAAGUCCUGGCCUGUUGCUCAAGCAGCUUCCAACCUGCAGAAGACAAAUGUGUAGUAACAGUUGUCUGGCAGCUUCUAGUGCUGCAGCAGAGGAAGGAUGCUCUGCUAAACUGUGAAGGAGCAAAAAGAAAAAGGUGCAUAACAGGACCGCUACCAACACUCCUAGUGCUAGACUGCUUUGAGGGUUUUGCCAAAAAGUGCCAAUUCAUCUUCAUCUUCUGGUGGACACCAUCACUGAUUCCCAAGAGAGCCUGUAGGUCUGAACUGCAGUGAGGGGGAGAGUUCCUCUAAAAUAACCAGGGGCAUACAAGAAGGAUCUCGUCGCCAUGCAGAAGCCUUGGAGCACCUCCUGAAUAACAGAUGGCUGCAGAAACCCUGGCAGACAAGCAGCCCAACACUGCUGUAGUGGGAUCAGCAUCUUCCACUCCUGAAUCUGGUGCCUUUCCUGUUUCCAUCCACCACAAGUGUGCGCUCUCCCCAGGAUCCGCCCUGGAUUCUCAUGUGCAGGAUGAGCAGAGCUGAAGUGUCUGGUGCCAUCGGGUGUGCCUCGAAGCAGAAGCGGGAUGAUCUGAGGAGGCAGGAUCUUUGGAAGGCAAAGAGAAGCAAGCUGUGCUUACACUGACCAGACAAAUGCAGAAAGGGCUCCAGGCUGAAAGCACAGAAACAAGCAGCUGUGCUGGAUAAAAAUUGUCGGAUAGCCUCCGUGUUCGGCUCAGCCAUGAGCAUUGCACACAGGGAGCAGCGUCCUCUCCCCACAGCCAUGUGUCCCACUUGGCUAAGACAAGAAACAAGGAUCUGUUCCUCAUCUGUCUUCCUACCCUAAAUGAAGGCAGAAUAUUGAUAAUGUUUGUGAUGACUUGAAUAAACAUCUUUUACUCAUCCGUUAAUGACAUGGGUCUCAUUGGCUUUCUUAGGUAGUCUACUGUUUCUACUAGGUUUUGCUGUGAUUUAUUCUGAUGUAUUUAAUAAAGGCAUUUUUCUAAUUGCUUUUGCAUUACUUCAUCGGUAAUAAUUGAUAAAGGUCAGUACAAAUUUGAACCUCUGCUAUGCACAUAAUGAGAUGUCCUCUCGUAAGGUGUAAGAAUAACCACAAUAAAUAUUAAUUUAACUCUCUUAGCUCAAGGCCUCAGAGUCACAGAUAUUCCUAAUUCAGUGGUCCUGACGGACAGGCUGCAGGGAGCAGGGCUGCCCUCUGUCUGUCUGCUGCUUGAGAUGACUGCUCGCUCCUUGGGGGCACUUUGCUCCUGACUGUCUCGGAUGCGCAAAACAGCAUGAGACAGGUAAUGCUCAGCUGUCUUCCACCUUUCCUGGGUACUAUCAUCUUUGUUCUGAUAGCACAUUUCACUGUCCUUGACGUGUUGUUAAACAGCUGCUGCUUCAAUCUGAGUGUCCAGCAAAGCGCUUCUGAUAAAGCGGGGAGGUUGGAGUGGGAUCACAGCGCCAGCUCUGUCCAGAGCAGCCCCAGACAAAAAAAAAAAAAA
Molecule: long non-coding RNA, 1609 nt
Organism: Oxyura jamaicensis (ruddy duck)
Lineage: Eukaryota; Metazoa; Chordata; Aves; Anseriformes; Anatidae
Exons: 2
Source: RefSeq, a predicted model, not a curated record